GAUUUCAUUUAGGUACUGGACACCCUUGGUGAUGUCAACCAAGAUAUUUGGACCAGUUCCAUCAGGUCCAAAGCACCAGAUCUUACGAACUUCAGACACAUCCCACUCAUAUUUCUCUGCCAGAUAUAAACACAAAAGAAGCCUUUUAUACCUUGAUUGGAAUGCAAGCAUGAUCUUCUUCCAGAUCUUUAAGGCAAAUUUCUAGAUGCAGCUCACCAGCUCCAGCAAUGAUGUGCUCACCCGACUCUUCAAUAAUACACUAGAACAUGAAAUACUAGUUGUGUAAGAGUAAAAAAUUGUUUCUUAAAUUAAUUUAAAUCAGAACAUUCCACAAGCAUUUUCUGUUAGAUUAAUCUGUGAUUGAUUUUUUCUAAAAUUGCUUAGUAAUGGCUGUUAUUGUGGAGAUUAACCAAAUAUCAUUACAUUUAUGAAGUGCCUUUCAUCCCAAGGAUUUAACAAUGAAUCACCUUACCCACCAGUGAAAUGUUGCAGGUGGUCUAACAUCAUACAGCAAAACUACACAGUAGCUUAUGAUAGGAAGUGAAGAGCGCUCCAUAACAUUGGAACUGUAUAUGGAAUUCAGGCAGGCAGGCAGAAACUGCCCACACUAAUUUAGCCAGACACUAAGACUAAUACCAUCCCCACAUUCCCACACUUGGAAAAUCUGUAAUGACAAGUAGUCAGGAUCUCGGUUUUACAAUCUCAUCUGAAAGAUAAGCAACUCCCAACAUCAUGCUGGGACAUUGUUUCAAUACUAAAUCAAAGGGAAGAGUGCUGCCUAAUGAAUAACCAAUACUACUCAUUGCAAAACCUGGGUUUUCCUUAGAGACUUCCUAUCCAAGUUCUGACUAGGCCCAUCCCUGCUUAGCUUGUUGAGUUUCAAAUGAUUACAACGUAAGUGGUAUGGCUGCAGAUUCUAAACAUCAGAUUAUGAAAGCUAUCAUGAAUAAGUCUCUUUCUGAAUAAAGUCUGAGUACUUCACGGCAAACCAGCAACUCUAAAACUAACACUCACCUGAACACUAACACUCACCUGAACCAUGGGAUCAGACUUGGCCAGACGCCUUAGACCUUCAACUAGUUUUGGUAGAUCAGCAGGGUUUUUAGCUUCAACAGCAACACGUACAACGGGGCUAACACUAAAUUUCAUCACUCGCAUGUUGUGUGCAUGCUCAAAGGUGGUAAUUGUAC
This is a non-coding RNA of Chrysemys picta bellii (western painted turtle), 1190 nucleotides long. The record is from RefSeq and is a predicted model, not a curated record. Lineage: Eukaryota; Metazoa; Chordata; Testudines; Emydidae.